Molecule: small nucleolar RNA, 132 nt
Organism: Meriones unguiculatus (Mongolian gerbil)
Lineage: Eukaryota; Metazoa; Chordata; Mammalia; Rodentia; Muridae
Source: Ensembl
CCAGCCCCUGGGAGCAUUACUGGUGUGGCUGCUGUGUCACAUGUGCAUCAGUAGGUGACAGAGAGGAGAAAGGCUGUGUCUGUGCUCAAUGUUCUGACCUGUGAACGUCUGAAUGAUUAAUAGCCUAACAGU